Molecule: long non-coding RNA, 539 nt
Organism: Bicyclus anynana (squinting bush brown)
Lineage: Eukaryota; Metazoa; Arthropoda; Insecta; Lepidoptera; Nymphalidae
Exons: 3
Source: RefSeq, a predicted model, not a curated record
AGGUGUAGCAAAAUAGAAGAUGAAGGUCUAGCUGUGCCAGUCAGUGCUGAGCCACACAGUUGCUGCUGGCAUGUUUGCAAAAUAGCACAAGGUGUAGCAAAAUAGAAGAUGAAGGUCUAGCUGUGCCAGUCAGUGCUGAGCCACACAGUUGCUGCUGGCAUGUUUGCAAAAUAGCACAAGGUGUAGCAAAAUAGAAGAUGAAGGUCUAGCUGUGCCAGUCAGUGCUGAGCCACACAGUUGCUGCUGGCAUGUUUGCAAAAUAGCACAAGGUAACCUGCUUCAUCAUCAUUAUCAGCCUAUUUUAACGACACUAGUUUAACAGAGCCAGACCUUAUAGAAAAGGGGUUAGGGAGCUUAGACCCACCACACUGCUACAAUAAAGGUUGGUGAGCUAAGGGAGAUAAAGUGAAAUUCAUUGUGGAUCACUAUCAGAUGUUAAUGAUAAUGACCUGGACGAGGCGCGGGAGUGUAAUACAAACAACUUACCAACUCCAGGCUGAGAACUGUAAAUUUCUUGGAAGAAAGAAAAACUCAGUAUC